This 554-nucleotide ribosomal RNA is filed under the name Rhodotorula mucilaginosa. Its description in RNAcentral is "partial large subunit ribosomal RNA". It matches the Rfam family "Eukaryotic large subunit ribosomal RNA", at positions 52 to 621 of the family's 3401-position model. Lineage: Eukaryota; Fungi; Basidiomycota; Microbotryomycetes; Sporidiobolales; Sporidiobolaceae. The record is from RNAcentral.
GGAGGAAAAGAAACUAACAAGGAUUCCCCUAGUAGCGGCGAGCGAAGCGGGAAGAGCUCAAAUUUAUAAUCUGGCACCUUCGGUGUCCGAGUUGUAAUCUCUAGAAAUGUUUUCCGCGUUGGACCGCACACAAGUCUGUUGGAAUACAGCGGCAUAGUGGUGAGACCCCCGUAUAUGGUGCGGACGCCCAGCGCUUUGUGAUACAUUUUCGAAGAGUCGAGUUGUUUGGGAAUGCAGCUCAAAUUGGGUGGUAAAUUCCAUCUAAAGCUAAAUAUUGGCGAGAGACCGAUAGCGAACAAGUACCGUGAGGGAAAGAUGAAAAGCACUUUGGAAAGAGAGUUAACAGUACGUGAAAUUGUUGGAAGGGAAACGCUUGAAGUCAGACUUGCUUGCCGAGCAAUCGGUUUGCAGGCCAGCAUCAGUUUUCCGGGAUGGAUAAUGGUAGAGAGAAGGUAGCAGUUUCGGCUGUGUUAUAGCUCUCUGCUGGAUACAUCUUGGGGGACUGAGGAACGCAGUGUGCCUUUGGCGGGGGUUUCGACCUCUUCACACUUAGG